RNAcentral lists this ribosomal RNA (327 nucleotides) under uncultured eukaryote. RNAcentral's name for it is "partial 18S ribosomal RNA". It matches the Rfam family "Eukaryotic small subunit ribosomal RNA", at positions 1470 to 1796 of the family's 1831-position model. The record is from RNAcentral.
CCCUUAGAUGUUCUGGGCCACACGCGCGUUACACUGAUGAAGCCAGCGAGUAUAUCGCCUUCACCGGAAGGUACGGGUAAUCUUGUGAAACUUCAUCGUGCUGGGGAUAGACCAUUGCAAUUAUUGGUCUUGAACGAGGAAUUCCUAGUAAGCAUGAGUCAUCAACUCGUGCUGAUUACGUCCCUGCCCUUUGUACACACCGCCCGUCGCUACUACCGAUUGAAUGGUUUAGUGAGAUCUCGGGAUUGGAGACGUUGCGCCGCAAGGCACAUCGUCCUCGAGAACUUGAUCAAACUUGAUCAUUUAGAGGAAGUAAAAGUCGUAACA